GGAGUCUAGCAUGCGCGCGAGUCAUCGGGAACGAUUAAACCCGCAGGCGAAGUGAAAGCGAAGCAUCCGUCUUAGCGCGGUGCGAGGGAGGAUGGGCGGUACGCGCGCGUACGCCUCGCACUCCCGGGGCGUCUCGCGCUCAUCGCGAGCUGAGGCGCACCCAGAGCGUGCACGCUGGGACCCGAAAGAUGGUGAACUAUGCCUGGUCAGGACGAAGUCAGGGGAAACCCUGAUGGAGGUCCGUAGCGAUUCUGACGUGCAAAUCGAUCGUCUGAACUGGGUAUAGGGGCGAAAGACUAAUCGAACCAUCUAGUAGCUGGUUCCCUCCGAAGUUUCCCUCAGGAUAGCUGGCGCCCGCGUACAAUUUCCUGCCGCGCGGCGGGUUCGCGCCCGUCCGCGCGGCGCCAAGGAUACGGACGAGUCUCAUCCGGUAAAGCGAAUGAUUAGAGGCAUUGGGGUCGAAACGGCCUCAACCUAUUCUCAAACUUUAAAUGGGUGAGAUCUCCGGCCUGCUUGAUUAUUGAUAUGCACGAGGCCGGAGAUCGGAUCAGGGUGCCAAGUGGGCCACUUUUGGUAAGCAGAACUGGCGCUGUGGGAUGAACCAAACGCAGAGUUAAAGCGCCAAAAUCGACGCUAAUGGGACACCAUGAAAGGCGUUGGUAACUUAAGACAGCAGGACGGU
This 682-nucleotide ribosomal RNA is filed under the name Prionocyphon sexmaculatus. RNAcentral describes it as "eukaryotic LSU rRNA". It matches the Rfam family "Eukaryotic large subunit ribosomal RNA", at positions 670 to 1249 of the family's 3401-position model. Lineage: Eukaryota; Metazoa; Arthropoda; Insecta; Coleoptera; Scirtidae. The record is from RNAcentral.